ACGACCAUAGCUCAGUUGGUUAGAGCACCACCUUGACAUGGUGGGGGUCGGUGGUUCGAGUCCACUUGGUCGUACCA
This 77-nucleotide transfer RNA is filed under the name Candidatus Symbiopectobacterium sp. 'North America'. Its description in RNAcentral is "tRNA-Val". It matches the Rfam family "tRNA". Rfam says of the family: Transfer RNA (tRNA) molecules are approximately 80 nucleotides in length. Their secondary structure includes four short double-helical elements and three loops (D, anti-codon, and T loops). Lineage: Bacteria; Pseudomonadati; Pseudomonadota; Gammaproteobacteria; Enterobacterales; Enterobacteriaceae. RNAcentral also lists the same sequence under 9 other names. The record is from RNAcentral.